GAUCAUGGCUCAGAACGAACGCUGGCGGCAGGCCUAACACAUGCAAGUCGAGCGCACCUUCGGGUGAGCGGCGGACGGGUGAGUAUCGCGUGGGAACGUGCCCUUCUCUACGGAAUAGUCCUGGGAAACUGGGGGUAAUACCGUAUACGCCCUUUGGGGGAAAGAUUUAUCGGAGAAGGAUCGGCCCGCGUUGGAUUAGGUAGUUGGUGGGGUAAUGGCUCACCAAGCCGACGAUCCAUAGCUGGUUUGAGAGG
RNAcentral lists this ribosomal RNA (254 nucleotides) under uncultured bacterium. Its description in RNAcentral is "partial 16S ribosomal RNA". It matches the Rfam family "Bacterial small subunit ribosomal RNA", at positions 15 to 299 of the family's 1533-position model. The record is from RNAcentral.